AGCCUCUGGGGAUCUUGUUAAAAUGCAGAUUCUGGUUCAGUAGGUCUGGGGCUGGAAUUCUGCAUUUCUAAUAAGCUCCAGGGGAUGCUGA
Molecule: microRNA precursor, 91 nt
Filed under: Camelus bactrianus (Bactrian camel)
Lineage: Eukaryota; Metazoa; Chordata; Mammalia; Artiodactyla; Camelidae
Also listed under: 2 other names
Description: mir-544 microRNA precursor family
Rfam family: mir-544 microRNA precursor family
Source: Rfam by way of RNAcentral